This 280-nucleotide ribosomal RNA is filed under the name uncultured bacterium. RNAcentral describes it as "partial 16S ribosomal RNA". It matches the Rfam family "Bacterial small subunit ribosomal RNA", at positions 335 to 600 of the family's 1533-position model. The record is from RNAcentral.
ACUCCUACGGGAGGCAGCAGUGGGAAUAUUGCACAAUGGGAAGCCAUCGAUGCAGCCAUGCCGCGCUGUGUGAAGAAGGCCAAUUCGGGCUUUGGUUAAAGACACUUUUCAGUAGGGAGGAAGGUAGUGUAGUUAACACCUGCAUUAUUUGACGUUACCUACAGAAGAAGCACCGGCUAACUCCGUGCCAGCAGCCGCGGUAAUACGGAGGGUGCGAGCGUUAAUCGGAAUUACUGGGCGUAAAGCGCAUGCAGGCGGCCUGUUAAGUCAGAUGUGAAAG